GGAGCGCGACGCUCUCCCCAAGGACGAAGCCAUGCAUGCCCGCUCACCCGGGACGCGGCGGACGGUUCAGGACGACGGUUGCACCCCCCGCGGCGGUCCCUGCUAGCCGGACACCGCUGGCAACCCGGCGCCAAGACGUGCGCGCAAGGGCGGGCGCCCGCGGG
Molecule: ribosomal RNA, 164 nt
Filed under: Giardia duodenalis
Lineage: Eukaryota; Fornicata; Diplomonadida; Hexamitidae
Description: Giardia intestinalis partial small subunit ribosomal RNA
Source: RNAcentral